GCCCUUAGAGUUUGAUCCUGGCUCAGGACGAACGCUGGCGGCGUGCCUAACACAUGCAAGUCGAACGGGGUUUAGGGGAAAGCUUGCUUUCCCCGAAGACCUAGUGGCGAACGGGUGAGUAACACGUGGGCAACCUACCCAAAAGACCGGGAUAACAGGUCGAAAGGCCUGCUAAUACCGGAUGUACCGCUAAAGGGGCAUCCCUUAAGCGGCAAAGAGGUUUACUGCUUUUGGAUGGGCCCGCGUCCCAUUAGCUAGUUGGUGGAGUAACGGUUCACCAAGGCGACGAUGGGUAGCCGGCCUGAGAGGGUGAUCGGCCACACUGGGACUGACACACGGCCCAGACUCCUACGGGAGGCAGCAGUGGGGAAUAUUGCGCAAUGGGGGCAACCCUGACGCAGCGACGCCGCGUGAGUGAUGAAGGCCUUCGGGUUGUAAAGCUCUGUCAAGGGGGAAGAAUACUGACGGUACCCCUAAAGGAAGCCCCGGCUAACUACGUGCCAGCAGCCGCGGUAAUACGUA
This 522-nucleotide ribosomal RNA is filed under the name uncultured low G+C Gram-positive bacterium. RNAcentral describes it as "bacterial SSU rRNA". It matches the Rfam family "Bacterial small subunit ribosomal RNA", at positions 1 to 529 of the family's 1533-position model. Lineage: Bacteria; Bacillati; Bacillota. The record is from RNAcentral.